RNAcentral lists this ribosomal RNA (292 nucleotides) under uncultured bacterium. RNAcentral's name for it is "partial 16S ribosomal RNA". It matches the Rfam family "Bacterial small subunit ribosomal RNA", at positions 505 to 796 of the family's 1533-position model. The record is from RNAcentral.
GUGCCAGCAGCCGCGGUAAGACAGAGGUUGCAAACGUUGUUCGGAAUUACUGGGCAUAAAGCGCACGUAGGCGGUUCGUUAAGUCAUGUGUGAAAUCCCUCGGCUCAACCGAGGAAUUGCGCCUGAUACUGGCGGGCUAGAGAUCGAUAGGGGUGAGUGGAACUCCAGGUGGAGCGGUGAAAUGCGUAGAUAUCUGGAGGAACACCGGUGGCGAAAGCGGCUCACUGGAUCGAUACUGACGCUGAGGUGCGAAAGCUAGGGUAGCAAACGGGAUUAGAUACCCUUGUAGUCC